Long non-coding RNA from Acanthaster planci (crown-of-thorns starfish), 2310 nucleotides. The record is from RefSeq and is a predicted model, not a curated record. Lineage: Eukaryota; Metazoa; Echinodermata; Asteroidea; Valvatida; Acanthasteridae.
GACUUGCGUGUAUUGAUAGGCAUUUGCACUCUACUUCAGGAAAGCUGACAAUCCCAUCAUCACAGCAGCCUACACCGUUACUGGUCGACCAAAUAAGAGGUUCGAGUUGCUUCUACGCCGAAUCAACCACUAAUUUCCCUGCAAGUUGAUUUUUUUGGAGUGCUAGUGUAUUAUUGUCUCUCUUUUGCAGACACAAGAUGAAGACGUGGGCAUUUUUUCUGGUGGUUGCCACUACGGCACUUGUCAUGACAGUGGUUGCUAUGGAGGAAGAGGACAGCGACAACUGGUUUGAGAACAUGAUACAAGAAUACAAAAGAAGACCACGACCUCCACCGCGCUAUUUGUCCUCAAAAACGUGCAAUGGAUAUGGAAAAACGUGCACCAUAAAGAAUAGAAAGCACAACUGCUGUCAAGGAUUAGGUUGCUACAGCAGGUCUGACAAAGACUGCUACGGGACCUCACGGUGCAUAUGUAGGAAAACUCCUGAGCUGAAGUACGUCUACUACAUGGUGUAAACUGGCGCCAUCAACAGGCUUGUAAAAAUCCAUGUAAAACGUUUCAGCUUGCAUGGCAUAUUAUAAAUAUGGCCUGCGUAUUCAUAAAUACAUGUAUUUAUAUAGAGAGUUUCUCCAAUCUCAAUAAUCAAAAUGGUAAUAUCUAGAAAUCAACUAGAUAUUUUGCUGAGAGUUAUUGUGGCGCUAAUAUCGCUUGUGGUACAGUUUCGCUUAAAAUCCAUUAGAGUACAGGCAAGGCUGAUAGUUUGCAUCUCUGUAAAUGGUCAACAAAUGGUCAAAACAACACAUUCAUUAUUGCAUGUAAGUUAUUUAUCGUUCAUUCAAUUUAUUUGUAGCUAAGGCCCGGAUAUGUCCUUAAGUUCACUUUGGCCAAGCUCUCUCUCAAGAGCAAGCUCUCGGACAAGCACUGAGCAAACAGUGUUUAUUAAUACAUACGCUGGGUAAGGGCAAAACCCGUUAUAUAAAUUAACAUCUCCCCAACGCAAAAAAAAAAUACAUCUUGAAAAAAGAAAAUUGUAGUUGGUUGCUCUUAUUAUUUAUAUUCAGGCAAACUUGAAUUCUCAAUCCUGACUGGUCGAUCCAUGGCAAUGAACAGUGUCAUGUAUAACUUUAUGUUCAGGCAAACUUGAAUUCUCAAUUCUGAUUCGUCGAUUUAUGGCAACAAGCAGUAUGAUAUAUAGACAAAAUGGUUCACCCAACUUUCUUUUUACCGUGGAUGUGAAAUCGCUUUACACCCACUCGGUGGUUUGGCUGCGCUCAAACACUGUCUAUAUUUCUGGCAGACUCAAGAUCCUCCUACCGGCACUCUGCUCCGUCUGGCUGAAUUGGUGCUCACGUUGAACAACUUCGCGUUCAACGGUGAGCACUACAUUCAGAUCAGUGGUGUGGCUAUGGACACACGAAUGGGACCAAGUUAUGCAUGUCCGUUUGUUGGCAACAUCGAGGAGCAGAUGCUGACCCAGUAUCAGGGCGUGCAGCCAUUAAUGUACCGGCGAUACAUUGAUGUUAUACUCAAACUCAAAAAGAAGGAAAGCGGGCAAACCAUUUUGAGUGUGUGUGUGUGCCUCAGCUUCGAUAUGGAUUUAUUCACAAACUCCACCGGAAUACCAUCAUACGUAUAUUGGGCAAACCGGUACACGAGGCAGCACCUGCGGCCACCUCGCAUAAAACCAUGCACAUUGAGCUGAACCAUGUACAAACGUGAUACUCAUGACCACGACAACUCCCCAAGGCAUAAGUUCCAAGUAAACGCCAAAACUUAAGGGCGUUAGUCAAGAAUGUCAAUGAUACCCACGAUCACUGAGUCGAGAACGUCCAAAACGGCUCUCGAUUUAUUUAAUACCAGGCACAAUAUGAUAAUUAGGUACUAUCAACCUAAAGAACGCAAGAGUAUAUUUACUAACGCUAGUUUUUCAUGCAUAACAUGAAGGAAGAAACUUCUCGUAACCCGGUACUUGUUUUAAGAACUGUAAUAAGUCAGUAACUUACAGUAUCAUGCAAUCUAAAUUUCCCACCGCUGGAACAUGCGGCUGGGUGUAGCCCGUGUGCAACGUCACAGGCUAUUAAUAAGAUACACAUGUGUACUGGUAUUAAUAAAUUGAAUUAUAAUGUUCAACUCCCCAUUGUCAUGCCGUGUGGCAUCAUGGCGCUUUAGACAUUGUAAUUUACAAAGCUCAAGAUUUAAUUGAUGUAUAGACCAGGUAGCUUAUCAUUUUUUUUUACAAACAAAUGGUGUUCCAUUCUUAUUCUGUAUAAAAAAAACUGCCACUCGUGGGAACCGCGACCAACGGAAAAA